AAACUUUACUUCACUACAAAAGAAAAAGGACACUAAACUGUCUAAACUGCUACAUGUCACAAGGAGCCACAACAGUAGCUCCCUUAGCCCACCCAACAAUGUUGUUAAUCUUUCCAGCUAUUCUCUUAGCCCGGCAGAAGAAUCUGUCCUAUUUUGGGGCUUCUCCUUUUGUCCCUCCAGACUCACAAACAUGAUACAGUUCUGCCGUGACCUAGAAUCCUGCUUUCACCGUCUCCGACUCAAAGAAUACUUCCAACACACCUCUGAACAACAUACUAACCCACAGAAUCCUUCCUACCAAUACUACAAAAAGAUGGAUUCUGCAUGGACUCCUCCUGAAGGUCGAAACAACAGAUUUGACUUCUACAUAGAUUGUUUCCAUCGACGUGCAGGGGCUGAAAUUGUGGAAAAGCAGCAUCAUUUGUCCUAUAACCUAAUCCGUGCUGAACACAAUGCCAUCAACAGCCUCAGGAACAACUCUGACAUCAUAAUCAAAAAAGCUGACAAAGGAGGUGCUCUAUUCAUCAUGAAUAAGUUGGAAUAUGAACAAGAGGCUGCUAGGCAGCUCUCUAACUCCACAUUCUACAGGCCAUUAUCCUCUGAUCCCACUGAGGAUUACCAAAAGAAACUACACCAUCUGCUCAAGAAACUCCCUGAAAAAGCACAGGAACAGAUCUGUACAGACACAUGCCUAGAACUCCGACCAGGGGUAUUCUAUUUGCUACUCAAGAUCCAUAAACCUGGAAAUCCUGGACACCCCAUCAUCUCAAGCAUUGGCACCCUUCAGCAGGAUUGUCUGGCUAUGUGGGACUCUCUCUUCAGGCCCUACGCUACCAGCACUCCCAGCUAUCUUCGAGACACCACUGACUUCCUGAGAAAACUACAAUCCAUCAGUGAUCUUCCAGAAAACACCAUCCUGGCUACUAUGGAUGUAGAAGCCCUCUACACCAACAUUCCACAUGAAGAUGGACUACAAGCCAUCAGGAAUAGUAUCCCCGAUAAUAUCGUGGCAAACCUGGUGGCUGAACUUUGUGACUUUGUUCUCACCCACAACUAUUUCACAUUUGGGGACAAUGUAUACCUUCAAGUCAGCGGCACUGCUAUGGGUACCCGCAUGGCCCCAUAGUAAGCCAACAUUUUUAUGGCUGACUUAGAACAACUCUUCCUCUGCUCUCGUCCCCUAAUGCCCCUACUCUACUUGCGCUACAUUGAUGACAUCUUCAUCAUCUGGACCCAUGGAAAAGAAGCCCUCGAGGAAUUUCACCAUGAUUUU
RNAcentral lists this long non-coding RNA (1273 nucleotides) under Chrysemys picta bellii (western painted turtle). RNAcentral describes it as "lncRNA (ENSCPBG00000024083.1)". The record is from RNAcentral. Lineage: Eukaryota; Metazoa; Chordata; Testudines; Emydidae.